AGUGAACGCUAGCGGUGCGCCUAACACAUGCAAGUCGAGUGGGUUCAGACCCACGGCAAACGGCUGCGUAACACGUUGGAAUCUGCCCCGAACUCAGGGAUAUCCCUCCGAAAGGCGGAGUAAUACCGGAUGCCCUCGCAAGAGGAAAGAAUUUUCGGUUCGGGAGGAGCCUGCGGCCUAUCAGAUAGUUGGUGGGGUAACGGCCUACCAAGUCUAUGACGGGUAGCUGGUCUGAGAGGACGACCAGCCACACUGGGACUGAGACACGGCCCAGACUCCUACGGGAGGCAGCAGUGGGGAAUAUUGGACAAUGGGGGCAACCCUGAUCCAGCCAUGCCGCGUGAGUGAUGAAGGCCUUAGGGUUGUAAAGCUCUUUUACCCGGGACGAUAAUGACUGUACCGGGAGAAUAAGCCCCGGCUAACUUCGUGCCAGCCGCCGCAUAA
Molecule: ribosomal RNA, 444 nt
Filed under: uncultured bacterium
Lineage: Bacteria
Description: partial 16S ribosomal RNA
Rfam family: Bacterial small subunit ribosomal RNA
Source: RNAcentral